GGGGCCAUGGCUCAGUGGCAGAACAUCAGCUUGGCAUGCAAAAGGUCCCAGGUUCAAUCCCAGAUAUUUCCA
This 72-nucleotide transfer RNA is filed under the name Sphaerodactylus townsendi. Its description in RNAcentral is "tRNA-Ala". The record is from RNAcentral. Lineage: Eukaryota; Metazoa; Chordata; Lepidosauria; Squamata; Sphaerodactylidae.